GCAGGCGCGCAAAUUACCCACUCCCGGCACGGGGAGGUAGUGACGAAAAAUAACGAUACGGGACUCAUCCGAGGCCCCGUAAUCGGAAUGAGUACACUCUAAAUCCUUUACCAAGGAUCAAUUGGAGGGAAAGUCUGGUGCCAGCAGCCGCGGUAAUACCAGCUCCAAUAGCGUAUAUUAAAGUUGUUGCGGUUAAAAAGCUCGUAGUCGAAUCUGUGUCCCGCGCCGCUGGUUCAUCGCUCGCGGUGUCCAACUGGCGUGUUUCGCGGGACGNNCUGCCGGUGGGCUCUACGGAUUGUUCGCUUCGGCGUUCGUUCGUGGCCCAACUCGUAUUCGUCUUGUGCGGGUGCGAAUCCCAUCGCGGUGCUCUUUGUUGAGUGUCGAGGUGGGCCGGCACGUUUACUUUGAACAAAUUAGAGUGCUUAAAGCAGGCCAAUUUUGCCUGAAUAUUGUGUGCAUGGAAUAAUGGAAUAGGACCUCGGUUCUAUUUUGUUGGUUUUCGGAACCCCGAGGUAAUGAUUAAUAGGAACGGAUGGGGGCAUUCGUAUUGCGACGUUAGAGGUGAAAUUCUUGGAUCGUCGCAAGACGGACAGAAGCGAAAGCAUUUGCCAAAAACGCUUUCAUUGAUCAAGAACGAAAGUUAGAGGUUCGAAGGCGAUCAGAUACCGCCCUAGUUCUAACCAUAAACGAUGCCAGCUAGCGAUCCGCCGACGUUCCUCCGAUGACGCGGCGGGCAGCNNCCGGGAAACCAAAGCUUUUGGGUUCCGGGGGAAGUAUGGUUGCAAAGCUGAAACUUAAAGGAAUUGACGGAAGGGCACCACCAGGAGUGGAGCCUGCGGCUUAAUUUGACUCAACACGGGAAACCUCACCAGGCCCGGACACCGGAAGGAUUGACAGAUUGAGAGCUCUUUCUUGAUUCGGUGGGUGGUGGUGCA
This 935-nucleotide ribosomal RNA is filed under the name Hoplandria lateralis. RNAcentral describes it as "SSU rRNA". It matches the Rfam family "Eukaryotic small subunit ribosomal RNA", at positions 428 to 1284 of the family's 1831-position model. The record is from RNAcentral. Lineage: Eukaryota; Metazoa; Arthropoda; Insecta; Coleoptera; Staphylinidae.